UCCCAAAUAGUCUAGGCGGUUAGGGAUACGUGGCUUUCAACCCACGCGACCCGGGUUUCAAGUCCCGGUUUGGGAA
Molecule: non-coding RNA, 76 nt
Organism: Phytophthora infestans T30-4
Lineage: Eukaryota; Oomycota; Peronosporomycetes; Peronosporales; Peronosporaceae
Source: the annotation of a RefSeq genome assembly